RNAcentral lists this long non-coding RNA (6442 nucleotides) under Homo sapiens (human). Its description in RNAcentral is "HSALNT0279348". Lineage: Eukaryota; Metazoa; Chordata; Mammalia; Primates; Hominidae. The record is from RNAcentral.
AAAGGUGGCAGCCGUGAUGGGUGAGAGCAGGUAGCUGCCGUCCACCGCAGGGCUGGCCACUCAGCAAGGCCACCCCCUGCAUGGGAGCUGCUGCGUUUUGAGAACUUUCACGCAGUUCCUCGGAGCGUCACAGGAUAGGCAAGGCUGGCAGGUGUGACCACCAUGUGUCCCUUUCAUCCGAGAGGCUGGGGCCUUGGCCUGGCUCUCACUGGCCUCCAACCGCUGUCCUUGCCCUGGGGCUGUCCCGGGUCCCUGGCCAGCCCUUCUCAGUGGGGUGAGCCUGUGCCAAGCCCCGUCCCCCAUGUACUGGGGCUGGUGAGUCAAACUUCAGGUUGCCCAGGCCAGGAAGGACUAGGGGAAGGCCAGCCUGCACACUUGCUGCAGCUAUAGCUGGUGGGGGAGGGACAGAAGGAGCCCCAGGGUGGGGUAGGGAUGUGGGGUGAAGAGGGGACUCCCUGGUUUUCCUAGCCGCCAGGGCUGUAGGUUCCCAAGCAGCCACAGCCCAGCCCAGAAGUGCAGGCACCACCCUGCUGGGGCACCCACCGCCCACGGCAAACUCCGAGCCCCAGGCUGAGUCACUCUUCCUGGGGGGCUGGGUGGGGAGAGCCCCCAGUGCCUAUGCAAAGCAGUCCUUGGCUUCCGGGAACCUCGGAAGGGCUGGGCCAGCUUGGCCCAUAGGACAGGCCAGGGCCCACGUGGCACAAGCAGGGCAUGAGCAGCAGGAAGAACGAGGUGGGAACAGCUCCCACUCCCCAGGGCUCUCAUCCCAGCGGAGAGACGCACGGAGGCCGGGCACAGGACUGGGAGGUCAAAUCUGCCAGGGUGGCCCAGCGCAGCAGGCCAGGUAGCACUGCGGGGCAGGGCCUUGUCCCCCAGGCACCCAGGGCCUGAUGGGACCCACCGGGGUGCCCAGAAAGUGUGUGUCCAGUAAGUCGGGGCAGAGGCUGGGCCCACCCUAAGUGAAGGAGGAGGGGACGUGGUGUCUGCGGCUCUCCGUGUGUCUGUGCGUGAUUAAUGGAGCAUGCAUGAGCUAACCGAGCAGCUGGUGUGGGGCCUGGACCCUGCUGAGGGAGGGGAGGCCCAAGGCCUGGGCCCCAACCCUGUAUGGAGGCCAGGGCUGGGGUGAGACUCAUUGUGGGGUGUCAGCAGGCUCCGGGGAGCCACUAAAGCCCAUGGGGUGCACUCAGUACCUGGGAGUCUGGGACCCAGACCAGCCCUUCCAGGGAAAACCACCAAAUAAGGGCAUAAGAUAGGAAAAGCAUCACAAAAACAAGCAAAAGCAGCAGGCAAGACGGUAAAGGAGGACCAGGUCCAGGCCAGGGAAGGUGAGUGAGCCCAAGGAGAGGGCGCUCUGAAAGGUGCCCGGCCCCGAAGCUCCUCCCUCUGAGACUUUGCCACCAGGGCCACCUGGAGCUCUGGGUCCCAAGGCCCUGGAGUGUGGGGACAGAAGACACCCCAUGCCCCCAACAAUAUGCAGCCCCAAACAGCUGGGUGCAAGGGUGAAUCAAAAACAGCAGGGUAUGGUGCACACCUGUGGUCCCAGCUACUCAGGAGGCUGAAGUAGGAGGAUCGCUUGAGCCUGAGAGUUGGAGGCUGCAGUUGGAGGCUGUGACUGCACCACUGCACUCCAGCCUGGGUGACAGAGUGAGAUCCUGUCUCAGAAAAAAAAAAAAAGAAAGAAAAAAGAUCAAAUAAUUUUAUUAAAAAGUAGAACUUCUAAAAAUGAAAACUUUAAGAAAUUAAAACUUCAAUGGGUUGAUAGCAUUCUGAAAUGAGCUGGAAGACAGGCGAGGAGAUAUUUUUAGAAUGCAGCACAGGCAGCUAAAUAAAUCAAACAAAGAAGUGGGAGACUAAAAGAUACCGGGAGAGAGAGAAGGCUUAGCAAACAUUUAGUUUGUAUUCCAAAGGGAAAGAGACAGAACGGGGUGGAGGCAAUAUUUAAAGACAUAAUGGCUGAGAGAGUCCCAUAAUUGAAUAAUGACACCAGCGCACACAUCAAAGACAUUCAAAUUCCAGGUUGAAUAAGUAAAAAUCAAACUGAACACUCAAAAGCUGGCAGAUAGAACUGACAGCUCCCCUUGGAGAGUGAUGGCUGACUCUGCUGAUUUUCCCAGAGCCACAGCAAAGACAAGAUGGUGGAAAGACGUAUUCAAUGUUCGGCGGGAGAGUGGCUGCAACCUGUACUCCUGCUGCAGAGAAUCUGACGCUGUCAUGAACCUGUGUGGAAAAGAUAUUGACAGACCAAAAGCUCAUCCGAACGUCCCAUCACUGGCACCUUCCUAAGGGACACUGUCUUGAGCAGAAAGAAAGUGGUUCAGAAUGAACAUGGUUGGAAGUCUGAGACUCAGGAAGAGUGAAGGGCAAAGAGGAAUGUAUGUAGUAAAUCUAAAAACCACUGGCUGUGCAAGCGAUGAUGAUAAUCAUGCCCAGUAGACUGUUAAAAACAUUAUUAAACAGGCUGACAGCAAUAGCAGGAAGUCAGAAGGGAGCACGGGACUUCACAUUUUCCAGGCUUCAAAGUCGAUAUAUUGCCAGGUGGGUAUAAGUGUGACUUCCUUCACUUUAGAUUUUGAUAAGUUUAACGUGCAAUGAGUAAUUUGUAGGCAGUGAGUAAAACACCAGAAACAGAGUCUGUAACCUCCAAACCAGAAGAAGGAAAAACCAAAAUGAGAGAAGAAGCGUCAAUGAAAACUAAGGCAAGAACAGAGAGAAAAAGGAACAUAGAAUAGAUGAGAUCAACAAAAGUUAAAUGAAAUCAAAUGGUAGGUACUGUGGUCAUCAGGCUCCAAGGCAGCCCCCAGUGAUCCUCACCCCCAGGCAAUCACGCAUGUGUGCUCCCCUCCUGUCUGGAUCAGGAUUGAGGUGCAUGGCCAGUAGAAUAUAGGGGCAGCAGGGGUAUGUGAUGUCUUGGGUGAGGUCAUAAAGACCUCAUGAAUCUAGUGGUCUCUCUUGAAUCACUCACUGGAGGAAGCCAGCUGCCAUGUUGUGAGGACACUCAGCCCUGUGGAAGGUCCACGUGGGAGGGACUGAUGGGGGGUGCACCAUCAGGGAGGUGGGUCCCCAGCUCCAGGCAAACCUUCAGAUGAGGCUGCCUCAGUUCACACCGGGACUGAGCUUCAGAAGCAUCCCUGAAGCAGCACCAUGCCGAGGAGCCCUUCUCGGACUCCUGAGCCACAGAAAAUGUGGAGGAUAAAUGUUUGCUUUGCCACAGCUCUGCUUUGCAGUGAUUUCUUAUGCAGAAUCAAUCACCACAGAAUCCAUGUACAUGAUUACAUUAAACGUAAAUGUUACAUGCACUGGUUAAAAGACACUGGCAGUCCGGAAUUUUAUGCAGAGAAAUAUGUAAAACAUAAGCUUAUAUAAUGAUGAAAGAAAAAACAUACCAGGAAAAUCCUCACCAAAAUAAAAUUAGUAACAAUCUGAAAACUCUAAAGCAAGAACUGACAGAAUUACAUGCAUCUUAUCAUACUUUUCUUAGUAACUGAUAAGCAAACUAAGAAAAUGAAAUAUGUCAACAACACAAUAAACAAAUCUGGCCCAACUCAUGAUACUGAACAAUUUCAGAAUUACAUAUUAUUUGCACCAAGAAAUAUUUACAAAAAUUGAUGACCAAAAGCAACUGACAAUCAUCUAAUGACUCACAAUCCUCCAUCUGACAUGUACUCCUCCAUCUGACAUGCACUCCUCCAUCUGACGUGCACUCCUCCAUCUGAUGUGCACUCCUCCAUCUGACGUGCACUCCUCCAUCUGACGUGCACACCUCCAUCUAACGUGCCCUCCUCCAUCUGAUGACGUGCACUCCUCCAUCUGACGUGCAUUCCUCCAUCUGACAAUGUGUACUCCUCCAUCUGACGUGCACUACUCCAUCUGACGAAAUGCACUCCUCCAUCAGAUGAUGUGUACUCCUCCAUCUGACAUGCACUCCUCCAUCUGACAACAUGCACUCCUCCAUCUGAUGAUGUGUACUCCUCCAUCUGACAUGCACUCCUCCAUCUGACAACGUGCACUCCUCCAUUUGACGUGAACUCCUCCAUCUAACGACGUGUACCCCUCCAUCUGACAACGUGCACUCCUCCAUCUGACAACAUGCACUCCUCCAUCUGACAACGUGCACUCCUCCAUCUGACCUGCACUCCUCCAUCUGAUGAUGUGCACUCCUCCAUCUGAUGUGCACUCUUCCAUCUGACAUUCACUCCUCCAUCUGAUGAUGUGUACUCCUCCAUCUGAUGUGCACUCCUCCAUCUGACGUGCACUCCUCCAUCUGAUGUGUACUCCUCCAUCUGACGUGCACUCCUCCAUCUGACGACAUGUACUCCUCCAUCUGACAAUGUGCACUCCUCCAUCUGAUGUGCACUCCUCCAUCUGACGAUGUGUACUCCUCCAUCUGAUGUGCACUCCUCCAUCUGAUAUGCACUCCUCCAUCUGACAUGCACUCCUCCAUCUGAUGACGUGCACUCCUCCAUCUGAUGUGCACUCCUCCAUCUGAUGAUGUGUACUCCUCCAUCUGACGUGCACUCCUCCAUGUGACGACGUGCACUCCUCCAUCUGACAUGCACUCCUCCAUCUGAUGACGUGCACUCCUCCAUCUGACGUGCACUCCUCCAUCUGAUGUGCACUCCUCCAUCUGAUGAUGUGUACUCCUCCAUCUGAUGUGCACUCCUCCAUCUGACGACGUGCACUCCUCCAUCUGACAUGCACUCCUCCAUCUGAUGAUGUGCACUCCUCCAUCUGACGACGUGCACUCCUCCAUCUGACAUGCACUCCUCCAUCUGAUGAUGUGCACUCCUCCAUCUGACGUGCACUCCUCCAUCUGAUGUGCACUCCUCCAUCUGACGUGCACUCCUCCAUCUGACGACGUGCACUCCUCCAUCUGACAUGCACUCCUCCAUCUGACGACGUGCACUCCUCCAUCUGAUAUGCACUCCUCCAUCUGAUGACAUGCACUUCUCCAUCUGACGUGCACUCCUCCAUCUGAUGAUGUGUACUCCUCCACCUGACAUGCAGUCCUCCAUCUGACGUGCACUCCUCCAUCUGACGACGUGCACUCCUCCAUCUGACGUGCACUCCUCCAUCUGAUGAUGUGCGCUCCUUCAUCUGACAUGCACUCCUCCAUCUGAUGAUGUGUACUCCUCCAUCUGACGACAUGCACUCCUCCAUCUGACGUGCACUCCUCCAUCUGACGAUGUGCACUCCUCCAUCUGACAUGCACUCCUCCAUCUGAUGACGUGCACUCCUCCAUCUGAUGAUGUGCACUCCUCCAUCUGACGACGUGCACUCCUACAUCUGACAUGCACUCCUCCUUCUGACAAUGUGUACUCCUCCGUCUGAUGUGCACUCCUCCAUCUGACAAUGUGCACUCCUCCAUCUGAUGCACACUCCUCCGACGACGUGCACUCCUCCAUCUGACAAUGUGUACUCCUCCAUCUGAUGAUGUGUACUACUCCAUCUGACAAUGUGUACUCCUCCAUCUGACAUGCACUCCUCCAUCUGACAAUGUGUACUCCUCCAUCUGAUGAUGUGUACUCCUCCAUCUGACGUGUACUCCUCCAUCUGACGUGCACUCCUCCAUCUGACAAUGUGUACUCCUCCAUCUGACAUGCAUUCCUCCAUCUGACAAUGUGCACUCCUCCAUCUGAUGUGCACGCCUCCAUUUGACAAUGUGUACUCCUCCAUCUGAUGCGCAUUCCUCCAUCUGACGACGUGCACUCCUCCAUCUGACGAUGUGUUUUGAUGAAAACCCAGCAUCCCCUGUCACAGUUAAGAAACUCCUGCCCACUCUUAACUCUGCAGGUCCAUGUAGGUGUGGAGCAGCAAGAAUAAGACACAAAAGGCAUAAAGAUCAUAAGGGAAGAAGUGAAACGGAAUUGAUUUGCAGGUGAUGUGACUUUGUCGAAAACCCAAAGGCAUCUACAAGUUGCCAGAAUCAAGAGGUGAAUUUACCAACAAGUUGGGACACAGUGUCCAUGUACAAAAUCAGGGCAUGUCCCACAUUUUAGCAACAAACCAGAACCAAGAGGUGAAUUUACCAACACGUCAGGACAGAGUGUCCAUGUACAAAAUCAGGGCAUGUCCCACAUUUUAGCAACAAACCAGAACCAAGAGGUGAAUUUACCAACACGUCAGGACACAGUGUCCAUGUACAAAACCAGGGCAUUUCGCACAUUUUAGCAACAAACAAUUGGAAAAUAAAAUUUCAAAUACUAUUGAUAAAAUUAUCAAAAUUUAUUUGUAAAAUAUACUUAUAAAAGUAUCAAAAAUCCAUCAAAUACCUAGGAAUAAAUGUAAUGAAAACUAUGCAAUAAUAUUGCUUGGAGAAACUGAAAAAAACCUAAAUAAACGUUGAGAUACAUCAUGUGCAGGGAUCAGAAGCCUCAAUAUUGUAGGAUAUCAAUUCUCCCCAAAAUGAUCUAUAGAUUUGACACAAUCUCAAUAAACAUCCCAG